RNAcentral lists this ribosomal RNA (494 nucleotides) under uncultured bacterium. RNAcentral's name for it is "bacterial SSU rRNA". It matches the Rfam family "Bacterial small subunit ribosomal RNA", at positions 8 to 518 of the family's 1533-position model. The record is from RNAcentral.
AGAGUUUGAUCAUGGCUCAGGACGAACGCUGGCGGCGUGCUUAACACAUGCAAGUCGAGCGAUGAAGCUCCUUCGGGAGUGGAUUAGCGGCGGACGGGUGAGUAACACGUGGGUAACCUGCCUCAUAGAGGGGAAUAGCCUUUCGAAAGGAAGAUUAAUACCGCAUAAGAUUGUAGUACCGCAUGGUACAGCAAUUAAAGGAGUAAUCCGCUAUGAGAUGGACCCGCGUCGCAUUAGCUAGUUGGUGAGGUAACGGCUCACCAAGGCGACGAUGCGUAGCCGACCUGAGAGGGUGAUCGGCCACAUUGGGACUGAGACACGGCCCAGACUCCUACGGGAGGCAGCAGUGGGGAAUAUUGCACAAUGGGGGAAACCCUGAAUGCAGCAACGCCGCGUGAGUGAUGACGGCCUUCGGGUUGUAAAACUCUGUCUUUGGGGACGAUAAUGACGGUACCCAAGGAGGAAGCCACGGCUAACUACGUGCCAGCCGCCGC